This 1015-nucleotide long non-coding RNA is filed under the name Oncorhynchus mykiss (rainbow trout). RNAcentral's name for it is "lncRNA (ENSOMYG00000077365.1)". The record is from RNAcentral. Lineage: Eukaryota; Metazoa; Chordata; Actinopteri; Salmoniformes; Salmonidae.
UCUCGUCUGUGUGUGUGUGUACGUAGGGGUUCUAAUCUGUCAAUUGUGUGUGUGUAUGUAGGGGUUCUAGUCGGUCGACCGUGUGUGUGUACGUAGGGGUUCUAGUCUGUCGACCGUGUGUGUGUGUGUACACAUAGGAGUUCUAGUCUGUCGACCGUGUGUGCGCGUACGUAGGGGUUCUAGUCUGUCGACCGUGUGUGCGUGCACUUAGGGGUUCUCGUCUGUGUGUGUGUACGUAGGGGUUCUAAUCUGUCAAUUGUGUGUGUGUACGUAGGGGUUCUAGUCGGCCGACCGUGUGUGCGCGUACAUAGGGGUUCUAGUCUGUCGACCGUGUGUGCGUGCACUUAGGGGUUCUCGUCUGUGUGUGUGUGUGUACGUAGGGGUUCUAAUCUGUCAAUUGUGUGUGUGUACCGAGGGGUUCUAGUCGGUCGACCGUGUGUGUGUACGUAGGGGUUCUAGUCUGUCGACCGUGUGUGUGUGUGUACACAUAGGGGUUCUAGUCUGUCGACCGUGUGUGUACGUAGGGGUUCUAAUCUGUAAAUUGUGUGUGUACGUAGGGGUUCUAGUCGGUCGACCGUGUGUGCGCGUACGUAGGGGUUCUAGUCUGUCAACCGUGUGUGCGCGCACUUAGGGGUUCUAGUCGGUCGACCGUGUGUGCGCGCACGUAGGGGUUCUAGUCGGUCGACCGUGUGUGCGCGCACGUAGGGGUUCUAGUCGGUCGGCCGCGUGUGCGUGCACGUAGGGGUUCUAGUCUGUCGACCGCGUGUGCGCGCACGUAGGGGUUCUAGUCUGUCGACCGCGUGUGCGCGCACGUAGGGGUUCUAGUCUGUCGACCGCGUGUGCGCGCACGUAGGGGUUCUAGUCUGUCGACCGCGUGUGCGUGCACGUAGGGGUUCUAGUCUGUCGACCGCGUGUGCGUGCACGUAGGGGUUCUAGUCUGUCGACCGCGUGUGCGUGCACGUAGGGGUUCUAGUCUGUCGACCGCGUGUGCGUGCACGUAGGGGUUCUAGUCUGU